This 446-nucleotide ribosomal RNA is filed under the name uncultured bacterium. Its description in RNAcentral is "partial 16S ribosomal RNA". It matches the Rfam family "Bacterial small subunit ribosomal RNA", at positions 338 to 795 of the family's 1533-position model. The record is from RNAcentral.
CCUACGGGUGGCAGCAGUCGAGAAUUAUUCACAAUGGGGGAAACCCUGAUGGUGCGACGCCGCGUGGGGGAAUGAAGGUCUUCGGAUUGUAAACCCCUGUCAUGUGGGAGCAAAUUAAAAAGAUAGUACCACAAGAGGAAGAGACGGCUAACUCUGUGCCAGCAGCCGCGGUAAUACAGAGGUCUCAAGCGUUGUUCGGAAGCACUGGGCGUAAGGCGUGCGUAGGCUGUUUCGUAAGUCGUGUGUGAAAGGCGCGGGCUCAACCCGCGGACGGCACAUGAUACUGCGAGACUAGAGUAAUGGAGGGGAAACCGGAAUUCUCGGUGUAGCAGUGAAAUGCGUAGAUAUCGAGAGGAACACUCGUGGCGAAGGCGGGUUCCUGGACAUUAACUGACGCUGAGGCACGAAGGCCAGGGGAGCGAAAGGGAUUAGAUACCCCGGUAGUC